Molecule: long non-coding RNA, 1265 nt
Organism: Gopherus flavomarginatus (Mexican gopher tortoise)
Lineage: Eukaryota; Metazoa; Chordata; Testudines; Testudinidae
Exons: 3
Source: RefSeq, a predicted model, not a curated record
AUGCAAAAAUUUGCCAAGAUUUCCUGCAGGGCAACUGAACAUACAAGUGUGGAGAGAUGGAGGUAGGAGAGAGACAGAAACCAUGCCCUCUGGAUCUUCAUCUUCUCAGUGCAGCUACUGCUGAGGCUGUGGUGAAGUCCCUCUGACACCACAUAUCUGGGAAUGAAGAGCUUCUCAGAGCUGAUUGGAAAUGGCAUUGCUGCACUGAAACGUAACUGGAGGAAAUACAUCUCCCGAAGAAGAAAAUAUAAUGCACUUUAAGGAUCUGACUUCUGGUGAAAAAUUCAAGCCUAGAGAAAACUUGCCUGCUUUAUUAAGAAGAAUGGGUUGGACAAUCUUCUUCAGUUCCAAAAGAUAUCUGAACGCCAUGCUGAGCUUAAUCUCUGCAGCAUGCUCUGUGCUUCUCUUCUCCUCCUGAUGCACUGCAUGGUUAGCCUGAGGAGAAGGAUAAAGAAACUGGCCUCCAAGAUGGUAAUCACUAGUGGAAAUGAAGAAGAUAAAGGCAAUCAAGAAAAGGAGAGCAAAGAAGAAACCAUCCUGGCAAUGCUUGGGAUUAUUGGAACAAUUCUGAACCUCAUUGUGAUCAUUUUUGUGUACAUUUACACAACAUUGUGAGCCAGAAGGCACACGAUGAGAACCAAUGAAACGGCUGCUAAAGGUGACAACAAACAUUGUAGGGUAUUGACAUGUUGCUUAAUCGGAAUUGAUUCUGUACUAUAUUACCACAUCAUAAACGCACUGCCUGCAGGCAGUGAAAGCUGAAGCACAAUUAAUGUAACCAGACUUUUUCACGCAGUGACAAGCUAAACUCUUCUGUCCUGCUCCUUGCCCUUUUUGUGGAGGUUUGGUUUUGCAGGAAAUGACUGCAAUUAUGUAAGUAGCAGCUUUGAAGAAUUCAAUCUGGGAUACAAACCCAAUAGAAAGAGACUGUACACUAUUUAGAAUUACUAAUGUAUACCAUAUACUCUGAAAGAUAGCUAGAUAGCACAGAUUUUGUGUCCAUUAGGUCAAAUGAUUUUUUUUCUCCUUGACUUUUCAAUUUUAUUUACAUUGAAACUGACAGGCUUUUUAUUUAGAAUGAACAUAUGGUGCAAUCAUGGAAAAACAAUUCCGUCCAGCAAGAUCUGCCUAAAAACAAUAAAAUGUUGGGGGAAAUAAGUGACAUGAUUAUUUUUUUUCUUUCUCAUUUGCUUGACAUUUGUGUCUGUUCAUGCCAAUGUUUAUAAAUAUAUAUUUUUAAUAAAUGUGCUAUAUUUUUAGCAUGA